UUGUAGAUGUUAAAAGCAAGAGACAUGGGAGAGCAUCAUUCCUUUGAGAUUUUAUAACUCAAACCAACUUUGGAGUUGUCUGAUUUGGAGAGUCAUUAUUCUUGGUCUUCGCUCUUAGAGGCCACUGAUGAAGAACAGGCGGUGACUGGAUGAAUCCUGGUCAGAGAGCAGAAUCUUCUUUCCCCUAAACUGAUGCAGCGGUGGUUUUAAAGGAGGACGCUGCCCUGGAUGAUGUAGAAGAUGUCACAUGCUGUGCUGAUGGGGUUUCUUCAUGAUUACAUCAGUUAUGCUAAAGAGAUCAUGAAAAUUGACCGUGAUGCAUGAUCUGUAUUCAUGGACUAUGAAACAAACUGUAAGUGUAUAAUUUGUUAAAAAAAAAAAAAGUUAAAUGCUUUUUCUGUGUUGUUUAGUAGAAGAGUUUACACUCUGUCAUUCAUACACCUGCUCACAUUCUUUCACACACACACACACAUGCGUCUGUUAAAUGUUAUAAUAUCAAAGUUAAUGUGAUUUAUUUGUGUACUGUCAUGCCAGAAUAGUUGGAAAAAAACCUAACUAAUUGUAAAUUUAUUGUAUGUGUUUUCGUAUAUUUUUAUACAAUAUAUACAAAUGAACAAAGUCCAAUUUGAUCUUAAGUUAUAUUCAUCAAAUGUUCAAUGCUUUGUUUAUGAACUCUGUAGCUGUUAAUGCCAUCCUUUUCUGCAUUUCUUCUAACAUGUUACUUUUUGACUUUUCUCUUGUUUUUAAUAAAUAUUUUCCUUUUG
Molecule: long non-coding RNA, 764 nt
Organism: Carassius gibelio (silver crucian carp)
Lineage: Eukaryota; Metazoa; Chordata; Actinopteri; Cypriniformes; Cyprinidae
Exons: 3
Source: RefSeq, a predicted model, not a curated record